RNAcentral lists this ribosomal RNA (951 nucleotides) under Microbacterium aurum. RNAcentral describes it as "bacterial SSU rRNA". It matches the Rfam family "Bacterial small subunit ribosomal RNA", at positions 92 to 1056 of the family's 1533-position model. Lineage: Bacteria; Bacillati; Actinomycetota; Actinomycetes; Micrococcales; Microbacteriaceae. The record is from RNAcentral.
UCAGUGGCGAACGGGUGAGUAACACGUGAGCAAUCUGCCCUUGACUCUGGGAUAAGCGCUGGAAACGGCGUCUAAUACCGGAUACGAGCUGCGAAGGCAUCUUCAGCAGCUGGAAAGAACUUCGGUCAAGGAUGAGCUCGCGGCCUAUCAGCUAGUUGGUGAGGUAAUGGCUCACCAAGGCGUCGACGGGUAGCCGGCCUGAGAGGGUGACCGGCCACACUGGGACUGAGACACGGCCCAGACUCCUACGGGAGGCAGCAGUGGGGAAUAUUGCACAAUGGGCGCAAGCCUGAUGCAGCAACGCCGCGUGAGGGACGACGGCCUUCGGGUUGUAAACCUCUUUUAGCAGGGAAGAAGCGAAAGUGACGGUACCUGCAGAAAAAGCACCGGCUAACUACGUGCCAGCAGCCGCGGUAAUACGUAGGGUGCAAGCGUUAUCCGGAAUUAUUGGGCGUAAAGAGCUCGUAGGCGGUUUGUCACGUCUGCUGUGAAAACUGGAGGCUCAACCUCCAGCCUGCAGUGGGUACGGGCAGACUAGAGUGCGGUAGGGGAGAUUGGAAUUCCUGGUGUAGCGGUGGAAUGCGCAGAUAUCAGGAGGAACACCAAUGGCGAAGGCAGAUCUCUGGGCCGUAACUGACGCUGAGGAGCGAAAGGGUGGGGAGCAAACAGGCUUAGAUACCCUGGUAGUCCACCCCGUAAACGUUGGGAACUAGUUGUGGGGUCCAUUCCACGGAUUCCGUGACGCAGCUAACGCAUUAAGUUCCCCGCCUGGGGAGUACGGCCGCAAGGCUAAAACUCAAAGGAAUUGACGGGGACCCGCACAAGCGGCGGAGCAUGCGGAUUAAUUCGAUGCAACGCGAAGAACCUUACCAAGGCUUGACAUAUACGAGAACGGGCUAGAAAUAGUCAACUCUUUGGACACUCGUAAACAGGUGGUGCAUGGUUGUCGUC